Molecule: ribosomal RNA, 250 nt
Filed under: uncultured prokaryote
Description: partial 16S ribosomal RNA
Rfam family: Bacterial small subunit ribosomal RNA
Source: RNAcentral
CACGUAAGACCCUAGCGUUAUUCGGAAUUAUUGGGCGUAAAGGGCACGCAGGCGGUUUGGUAAGUCAGAAGUGAAAUACCGGAGCUUAACUCCGGUGCUGCUUUUGAUACUGCUGAACUUGAAUCAGUGAGGGGUGACCGGAAUUCCUAGUGUAGGGGUGAAAUCUGUAGAUAUUAGGAAGAACACCGGUGGCGAAGGCAGGUCACCAGCACAUGAUUGACGCUCAGGUGCGAAGGUGCGGGGAGCAAAC